UACGGAGGGUGCAAACGUUGCUCGGAAUCAUUGGGCGUAAAGCGCACGUAGGCGGUCCGAUAAGUCGGAUGUGAAAGCCCUCGGCUCAACCGAGGAAGUGCAUUCGAAACUGUCGGACUUGAGUAUGGGAGAGGGUUGCGGAAUUCCCGGUGUAGAGGUGAAAUUCGUAGAUAUCGGGAGGAACACCAGAGGCGAAGGCGGCAGCCUGGACCAAUACUGACGCUGAGGUGCGAAAGCGUGGGGAGCAAACAGG
RNAcentral lists this unclassified non-coding RNA (253 nucleotides) under Kofleria sp. RNAcentral's name for it is "partial 16S ribosomal RNA". It matches the Rfam family "Bacterial small subunit ribosomal RNA", at positions 524 to 776 of the family's 1533-position model. RNAcentral also lists the same sequence under 1 other name. Lineage: Bacteria; Pseudomonadati; Myxococcota; Haliangiales; Kofleriaceae. The record is from RNAcentral.